Molecule: ribosomal RNA, 862 nt
Filed under: Staphylococcus aureus
Lineage: Bacteria; Bacillati; Bacillota; Bacilli; Caryophanales; Staphylococcaceae
Description: partial 23S ribosomal RNA
Rfam family: Bacterial large subunit ribosomal RNA
Source: RNAcentral
UAAGGGCGCACGGUGGAUGCCUUGGCACUAGAAGCCGAUGAAGGACGUUACUAACGACGAUAUGCUUUGGGGAGCUGUAAGUAAGCUUUGAUCCAGAGAUUUCCGAAUGGGGAAACCCAGCAUGAGUUAUGUCAUGUUAUCGAUAUGUGAAUACAUAGCAUAUCAGAAGGCACACCCGGAGAACUGAAACAUCUUAGUACCCGGAGGAAGAGAAAGAAAAUUCGAUUCCCUUAGUAGCGGCGAGCGAAACGGGAAGAGCCCAAACCAACAAGCUUGCUUGUUGGGGUUGUAGGACACUCUAUACGGAGUUACAAAGGACGACAUUAGACGAAUCAUCUGGAAAGAUGAAUCAAAGAAGGUAAUAAUCCUGUAGUCGAAAAUGUUGUCUCUCUUGAGUGGAUCCUGAGUACGACGGAGCACGUGAAAUUCCGUCGGAAUCUGGGAGGACCAUCUCCUAAGGCUAAAUACUCUCUAGUGACCGAUAGUGAACCAGUACCGUGAGGGAAAGGUGAAAAGCACCCCGGAAGGGGAGUGAAAUAGAACCUGAAACCGUGUGCUUACAAGUAGUCAGAGCCCGUUAAUGGGUGAUGGCGUGCCUUUUGUAGAAUGAACCGGCGAGUUACGAUUUGAUGCAAGGUUAAGCAGUAAAUGUGGAGCCGUAGCGAAAGCGAGUCUGAAUAGGGCGUUUAGUAUUUGGUCGUAGACCCGAAACCAGGUGAUCUACCCUUGGUCAGGUUGAAGUUCAGGUAACACUGAAUGGAGGACCGAACCGACUUACGUUGAAAAGUGAGCGGAUGAACUGAGGGUAGCGGAGAAAUUCCAAUCGAACCUGGAGAUAGCUGGUUCUCUCCGAAAUAGCUUU